UACGGAGGGGGCUAGCGUUGUUCGGAAUUACUGGGCGUAAAGCGCACGUAGGCGGCUUUGUAAGUUAGAGGUGAAAGCCCAGGGCUUAACCCUGGAAUUGCCUUUAAGACUGCAUCGCUAGAAUCGUGGAGAGGUGAGUGGAAUUCCGAGUGUAGAGGCGAAAUUCGUAGAUAUUCGGAAGAACACCAGUGGCGAAGGCGGCUCACUGGCCCGAUACUGACGCUGAGAUACGAAAGCGUGGGGAGCAAACAGG
RNAcentral lists this ribosomal RNA (253 nucleotides) under uncultured bacterium. Its description in RNAcentral is "partial 16S ribosomal RNA". It matches the Rfam family "Bacterial small subunit ribosomal RNA", at positions 524 to 776 of the family's 1533-position model. The record is from RNAcentral.